AGAGUUUGAUCCUGGCUCAGGACGAACGCUGGCGGCGUGCCUAACACAUGCAAGUCGAACGGAGCUAUUAGCAAUAUUAGCUUAGUGGCGGACGGGUGAGUAACGCGUGGGCAACCUGCCUUACAGAGGGGGAUAACAGUGCGAAAGCACUGCUAAUACCGCAUGACAUUGCGACUCCGCAUGGAGAUGCAAUCAAAGGAGUAAUCCGCUGUAAGAGGGGCCCGCGUCUGAUUAGCUAGUUGGUGAGGUAAAAGCUCACCAAGGCGACGAUCAGUAGCCGAUCUGAGAGGAUGAACGGCCACACUGGAACUGAGACACGGUCCAGACUCCUACGGGAGGCAGCAGUGGGGAAUAUUGCACAAUGGGGGAAACCCUGAUGCAGCAACGCCGCGUGGAGGACGAAGGCCUUCGGGUUGUAAACUCCUGUCUUUUGGGACGAAUAAUGACGGUACCAAAGGAGGAAGCCACGGCUAACUACGUGCCAGCAGCCGCGGUAAUACGUAGGUGGCAAGCGUUGUCCGGAAUUAUUGGGCGUAAAGGGCGCGUAGGCGGCUUUUUAAGUCAGAUGUGAAAACCCCGGGCUUAACCUGGGAACUGCAUCUGAUACUGGGAGGCUAGAGUGCAGGAGAGGUAAGUGGAAUUCCUAGUGUAGCGGUGAAAUGCGUAGAUAUUAGGAGGAACACCAGUGGCGAAGGCGACUUACUGGACUGUAACUGACGCUGAGGCGCGAAAGCGUGGGGAGCAAACAGGAUUAGAUACCCUGGUAGUCCACGCUGUAAACGAUGGAUACUAGGUGUGGG
Molecule: ribosomal RNA, 800 nt
Filed under: uncultured bacterium
Lineage: Bacteria
Description: bacterial SSU rRNA
Rfam family: Bacterial small subunit ribosomal RNA
Source: RNAcentral